AUGGUCGGGAUAGCCUUC
RNAcentral lists this transfer RNA (18 nucleotides) under Tellima grandiflora. RNAcentral's name for it is "partial tRNA-Phe". Lineage: Eukaryota; Viridiplantae; Streptophyta; Magnoliopsida; Saxifragales; Saxifragaceae. The record is from RNAcentral.